CUGUGGGGGAAAAGGUGAUGAGGGUGCAUCUGCACACCUAUGUUCAUAGUGGGGUAUUUAUUCUGCAUCCACGUCUUCACAAGGAGCUGAAAACAAAUUGGAUGGAAGCAACUGGGUUUUAUGGGACACGUUAAUGUUUUAAUGUCAUUUGGUGUGGAAUUCAGAUGUCCAAGCAACAUUUUACACUACAAAUCUGCAACUUUAAUAAUCACUCAAAGUACCUGAACCUCAAUGCUUUCAGACAGACUUGGUAUAAAGCCACCACCUCUUUCUAUUAUGGCAGCCCUAUC
RNAcentral lists this long non-coding RNA (290 nucleotides) under Homo sapiens (human). Its description in RNAcentral is "non-protein coding lnc-IL37-1:1". The record is from RNAcentral. Lineage: Eukaryota; Metazoa; Chordata; Mammalia; Primates; Hominidae.